This 253-nucleotide ribosomal RNA is filed under the name uncultured bacterium. RNAcentral describes it as "partial 16S ribosomal RNA". It matches the Rfam family "Bacterial small subunit ribosomal RNA", at positions 524 to 776 of the family's 1533-position model. The record is from RNAcentral.
UACGUAGGGUCCGAGCGUUAAUCGGAAUUGCUGGGCGUAAAGCGUGCGCAGGCGGUUCGCAAAGACAGGUGUGAAAUCCCCGGGCUUAACCUGGGAACUGCGCUUGUAACUACGUGGCUGGAGUGUGGCAGAGGAAGGUGGAAUUCCAGGUGUAGCGGUGAAAUGCGUAGAGAUCUGGAGGAACACCGAUGGCGAAGGCAGCCUUCUGGGCCAACACUGACGCUCAUGCACGAAAGCGUGGGGAGCAAACAGG